Molecule: ribosomal RNA, 253 nt
Filed under: uncultured bacterium
Lineage: Bacteria
Description: partial 16S ribosomal RNA
Rfam family: Bacterial small subunit ribosomal RNA
Source: RNAcentral
UACAGAGGGUGCGAGCGUUAAUCGGAAUUACUGGGCGUAAAGCGCGCGUAGGCGGCUUUGCAAGUCGGGUGUGAAAUCCCCAGGCUUAACCUGGGAACUGCAUUCGAGACUGCAUUGCUAGAGUAUGGGAGAGGGAAGUGGAAUUUCCGGUGUAGCGGUGAAAUGCGUAGAUAUCUGGAGGAACACCGGAGGCGAAAGCGGUCCACUGGGCAACUUCUGACGCUGAGGUGCGAAAGCUAGGGUAGCAAACGGG